AGAGUUUGAUCAUGGCUCAGAUUGAACGCUGGCGGCAGGCCUAACACAUGCAAGUCGAGCGGAUGAAGAGAGCUUGCUCUCUGAUUCAGCGGCGGACGGGUGAGUAAUGCCUAGGAAUCUGCCUGGUAGUGGGGGACAACGUCUCGAAAGGGACGCUAAUACCGCAUACGUCCUACGGGAGAAAGCAGGGGACCUUCGGGCCUUGCGCUAUCAGAUGAGCCUAGGUCGGAUUAGCUAGUUGGUGAGGUAAUGGCUCACCAAGGCGACGAUCCGUAACUGGUCUGAGAGGAUGAUCAGUCACACUGGAACUGAGACACGGUCCAGACUCCUACGGGAGGCAGCAGUGGGGAAUAUUGGACAAUGGGCGAAAGCCUGAUCCAGCCAUGCCGCGUGUGUGAAGAAGGUCUUCGGAUUGUAAAGCACUUUAAGUUGGGAGGAAGGGUUGUAGAUUAAUACUCUGCAAUUUUGACGUUACCGACAGAAUAAGCACCGGCUAACUCUGUGCCAGCAGCCGCGGUAAUACAGAGGGUGCAAGCGUUAAUCGGAAUUACUGGGCGUAAAGCGCGCGUAGGUGGUUUGUUAAGUUGGAUGUGAAAGCCCCGGGCUCAACCUGGGAACUGCAUUCAAAACUGACAAGCUAGAGUAUGGUAGAGGGUGGUGGAAUUUCCUGUGUAGCGGUGAAAUGCGUAGAU
This 692-nucleotide ribosomal RNA is filed under the name uncultured Gammaproteobacteria bacterium. RNAcentral's name for it is "bacterial SSU rRNA". It matches the Rfam family "Bacterial small subunit ribosomal RNA", at positions 8 to 695 of the family's 1533-position model. Lineage: Bacteria; Pseudomonadati; Pseudomonadota; Gammaproteobacteria. The record is from RNAcentral.